Molecule: non-coding RNA, 1082 nt
Filed under: Drosophila simulans
Lineage: Eukaryota; Metazoa; Arthropoda; Insecta; Diptera; Drosophilidae
Description: Eukaryotic large subunit ribosomal RNA
Rfam family: Eukaryotic large subunit ribosomal RNA
Source: Rfam by way of RNAcentral
UUGAUAUUUUGAACGAAAGGGAAUACGGUUCCAAUUCCGUCUCACUGUCGAUGAUGGUGAGUAUCCGUUUGUUAUUAAAUAUGGGCCUCGUGCUCAUCCUGGCAACAGGAACGACCAUAAAGAAGCCGUCGAGAGAUAUCGGAAGAGUUUUCUUUUCUGUUUUAUAGCCGUACUACCAUGGAAGUCUUUCGCAGAGAGAUAUGGUAGAUGGGCUAGAAGAGCAUGACAUAUACUGUUGUGUCGAUAUUUUCUCCUCGGACCUUGAAAAUUUAUGGUGGGGACACGCAAACUUCUCAACAGGCCGUACCAAUAUCCGCAGCUGGUCUCCAAGGUGAAGAGUCUCUAGUCGAUAGAAUAAUGUAGGUAAGGGAAGUCGGCAAAUUAGAUCCGUAACUUCGGGAUAAGGAUUGGCUCUGAAGAUUGAGAUAGUCGGGCUUGAUUGGGAAACAAUAACAUGGUUUAUGUGCUCGUUCUGGGUAAAUAGAGUUUCUAGCAUUUAUGUUAGUUACUUGUUCCCCGGAUAGUUUAGUUACGUAGCCAAUUGUGGAACUUUCUUGCUAAAAUUUUUAAGAAUACUAUUUGGGUUAAACCAAUUAGUUCUUAUCAAUUAUAACGAUUAUCAAUUAACAAUCAAUUCAGAACUGGCACGGACUUGGGGAAUCCGACUGUCUAAUUAAAACAAAGCAUUGUGAUGGCCCUAGCGGGUGUUGACACAAUGUGAUUUCUGCCCAGUGCUCUGAAUGUCAAAGUGAAGAAAUUCAAGUAAGCGCGGGUCAACGGCGGGAGUAACUAUGACUCUCUUAAGGAGACUCUCUUAACGACAGUGUCGUGCAGGAUGUGACGCUCCCGAAACAACAAACCACAUAAUGCAAAAUGUUAUCGAUCGCAUGGGAGGCGCGUAGCUAGACACACUGCGUAGUAAAUCGAUCAGCGGGACUUGAGAGAGAGCUGCGUGUCAUUUUGACCAGUCUGCAGUGCGAUCCUGCUUAUAACCGGACUGUGCCUACGACAGAUCAUUGAUUGACGAAUCAAUGUGACGACGACCUUUGGUGAGCCCACCCAAUAAUAACACGACGAAUCAC